This 223-nucleotide ribosomal RNA is filed under the name uncultured eukaryote. RNAcentral describes it as "partial 18S ribosomal RNA". It matches the Rfam family "Eukaryotic small subunit ribosomal RNA", at positions 1208 to 1456 of the family's 1831-position model. The record is from RNAcentral.
GGAAAACUCACCAGGUCCAGACAUAGGAAGGAUUGACAGAUUGAGAGCUCUUUCUUGAUUCUAUGGGUGGUGGUGCAUGGCCGUUCUUAGUUGGUGGAUUGAUUUGUCUGGUUGAUUCCGACAACGAACGAGACCUUCGCCGUUUAAUAGGAAGCUUUUCUUCGGAUAAGAUUUCUUCUUAACGGGACCUUGUGCGUCUAGCAUAAUGAAGUGAAGGCAAUAA